This 240-nucleotide unclassified non-coding RNA is filed under the name Hevea brasiliensis (rubber tree). The record is from RNAcentral. Lineage: Eukaryota; Viridiplantae; Streptophyta; Magnoliopsida; Malpighiales; Euphorbiaceae.
AAAAGAUUUCAACAUUUUCUGUUUCAGCUUUUAUUUUCCCCAGCAGUCUCGAGAAACAAACAGAGGUUUAACAAGGACAAAAACCACAACACUUAACAUCGAGCAUAAAAAUAACAGUGAGAAACAACUGGAAAAGAAAAGAAAAGAAUCUGAAAGAAAAUAAACCAAGUUAAUUACUGAAAUCUUGAAAACAAUGAAUAGCUUAUAAAAUAGAAUAAAUUAAUAGAUGUACCUGCUUAG